This 154-nucleotide ribosomal RNA is filed under the name uncultured bacterium. Its description in RNAcentral is "partial 16S ribosomal RNA". It matches the Rfam family "Bacterial small subunit ribosomal RNA", at positions 337 to 498 of the family's 1533-position model. The record is from RNAcentral.
UCCUACGGGAGGCAGCAGUAGGGAAUCUUCCACAAUGGGCGAAAGCCUGAUGGAGCAACGCCGCGUGAGCGAAGAAGGUCUUCGGAUCGUAAAGCUCUGUUGUAAGGGAAGAACAAGUGCAGUAGUAACUGGCUGCACCUGACCUGCCGCAGUC